This 450-nucleotide ribosomal RNA is filed under the name uncultured bacterium. RNAcentral's name for it is "partial 16S ribosomal RNA". It matches the Rfam family "Bacterial small subunit ribosomal RNA", at positions 354 to 796 of the family's 1533-position model. The record is from RNAcentral.
GUGGGGAAUAUUGGACAAUGGGCGCAAGCCUGAUCCAGCAAUGCCGCGUGGGUGAAGAAGGCCUUCGGGUUGUAAAGCCCUUUUGUCCGGGAAGAAAUCUUCCAGGUUAAUACCCUGGGAGGCUGACGGUACCGGAAGAAUAAGCACCGGCUAACUUCGUGCCAGCAGCCGCGGUAAUACGAAGGGUGCAAGCGUUACUCGGAAUUACUGGGCGUAAAGCGUGCGUAGGUGGUUCGUUAAGUCUGCCGUGAAAGCCCCGGGCUCAACCUGGGAAUGGCGGUGGAUACUGGCGGGCUAGAGUGCGGUAGAGGGUGGUGGAAUUCCCGGUGUAGCAGUGAAAUGCGUAGAGAUCGGGAGGAACAUCUGUGGCGAAGGCGGCCACCUGGACCAGCACUGACACUGAGGCACGAAAGCGUGGGGAGCAAACAGGAUUAGAAACCCGUGUAGUCC